GACGAACGCUGGCGGCGUGCUUAACACAUGCAAGUCGAACGGAAAGGCCCUGCUUUUGUGGGGUGCUCGAGUGGCGAACGGGUGAGUAACACGUGAGUAACCUGCCCCUGUCAUUGGGAUAUCUUCAGGAAACUGGGGCUAAUACCGGAUAUGAUCUCCUGCUGCAUGGUGGGGGUUGGAAAGUUUCGGCGGUUGGGGAUGGACUCGCGGCUUAUCAGCUUGUUGGUGGGGUAGUGGCUGACGAAGGCUUUGACGGGUAGCCGGCCUGAGAGGGUGACCGGCCACCUUGCGACUGAGGGACGGCGCAGACGCGUACCGGAGGCAGCAGUGGGGAACAUUGCACAAUAGGCGGGAGCCUGAGGCAGAGACGCCGCGUGCGGGAUGACGUCCUACGGGUUGUAAACAGCUGUCGCCUGUGACGAAGAGGGAGUGACGGUACUGAGUAAAGAAGCACCGGCUAACUACGUG
RNAcentral lists this ribosomal RNA (468 nucleotides) under uncultured bacterium. RNAcentral describes it as "partial 16S ribosomal RNA". It matches the Rfam family "Bacterial small subunit ribosomal RNA", at positions 28 to 507 of the family's 1533-position model. The record is from RNAcentral.